AAUCCAUAGGUUAAUGAGGCGAACCGGGGGAACUGAAACAUCUAAGUACCCCGAGGAAAAGAAAUCAACCGAGAUUCCCCCAGUAGCGGCGAGCGAACGGGGAGGAGCCCAGAGCCUGAAUCAGCAUGUGUGUUAGUGGAAGCGUCUGGAAAGGCGCGCGAUACAGGGUGACAGCCCCGUACACAAAAGCGCAUGUGCUGUGAGCUCGAUGAGUAGGGCGGGACACGUGGUAUCCUGUCUGAAUAUGGGGGGACCAUCCUCCAAGGCUAAAUACUCCUGACUGACCGAUAGUGAACCAGUACCGUGAGGGAAAGGCGAAAAGAACCCCGGCGAGGGGAGUGAAAAAGAACCUGAAACCGUGUACGUACAAGCAGUGGGAGCACAGGUUUACCUGUGUGACUGCGUACCUUUUGUAUAAUGGGUCAGCGACUUAUAUUCUGUAGCAAGGUUAACCGCAUAGGGGAGCCGGAGGGAAACCGAGUCUUAAUUGGGCGUUAAGUUGCAGGGUAUAGACCCGAAACCCGGUGAUCUAGCCAUGGGCAGGUUGAAGGUUGGGUAACACUAACUGGAGGACCGAACCGACUAAUGUUGAAAAAUUAGCGGAUGACCUGUGGCUGGGGGUGAAAGGCCAAUCAAACCGGGAGAUAGCUGGUUCUCCCCGAAAGCUAUUUAGGUAGCGCCUCGUGAAUUCAUCUCCGGGGGUAGAGCACUGUUUCGGCUAGGGGGCCAUCCCGGCUUACCAACCCGAUGCAAACUGCGAAUACCGGAGAAUGUUAUCACGGGAGACACACGGCGGGUGCUAACGUCCGUCGUGAAGAGGGAAACAACCCAGACCGCCAGCUAAGGUCCCAAAGUCAUGGUUAAGUGGGAAACGAUGUGGGAAGGCCCAGACAGCCAGGAUGUUGGCUUAGAAGCAGCCAUCAUUUAAAGAAAGCGUAAUAGCUCACUGGUCGAGUCGGCCUGCGCGGAAGAUGUAACGGGGCUAAACCAUGCACCGAAGCUGCGGCAGCGAACGUAUCACUUAAAGCGAUUCAGCGGGUUACGAUUGACGGAGCGAAGCGACGUCAAAGCGUAUACAAAGUCGAGUCGGUUUAAGGAUACGUUCGUUGGGUAGGGGAGCGUUCUGUAAGCCUGUGAAGGUGUGUCGUGAGGC
Molecule: ribosomal RNA, 1153 nt
Filed under: Salmonella enterica subsp. enterica serovar Kedougou
Lineage: Bacteria; Pseudomonadati; Pseudomonadota; Gammaproteobacteria; Enterobacterales; Enterobacteriaceae
Description: partial 23S ribosomal RNA
Rfam family: Bacterial large subunit ribosomal RNA
Source: RNAcentral